Molecule: long non-coding RNA, 19604 nt
Filed under: Capsicum annuum
Lineage: Eukaryota; Viridiplantae; Streptophyta; Magnoliopsida; Solanales; Solanaceae
Description: long non-coding RNA (CANN_LNC012736)
Source: RNAcentral
GAGGAAUAAAAAUGGAUCAAUACGUGCAAGAUCAGUGCAAUAAAUAAAAAAGUUCACGCAUCUGCUUUUGGCAAAAAUAGGCGUAACUCUCUUCCUAAAACUGCCAAAAUAGGCGUAACUCUCUUCCUAAAACAAUAUUGAUUGAUCUCCUUCCCAAAACAACAACGAUGGCCUCCUUCCCCUCUUCUCCUCUUUCAACCUUCUCCUCUCACCCCAAAUGAGAAAUCUUAAGAUCUCCAUAGCUGGCCACCGUCUGCCACCUACCCAUAUGAAUCUUUCAUUUUUAUCACCCCAAGCCAGCAAAUUACCAAAAAUCAGAGAAAAUCAGUCCCUAAUUUGUGCAAAAAUGAAAAUUUCUGAGGAUUCGCAGCUAAAGCUUGAUAAAAACUGAAAUUUUUGUAGAUGAAUGUCAUAAUUUUGAAUUCAAAUCUCAUCUCCAUAAAAAUAUGCUUCAAAUCCAGACUUUGGAGUUCGGAUUUAGGCUAUAAAUAGCCCCAAAAUCGCCAUCAUCAGGAAAAACUUAGAGAUUAAAGGAAAAACUCGACAAGAAGCCCAAGUUUGCUGCACAAUACAAGGUGUGAAUCUGCUUCCUUUUAAUUCAUUUUCUUUUUCCUCCCUUUGUGCAUGUCGAUUCUGUGAAUACGAAAUUCAUUGUGAUCGCUAAUUAGUGUUGUUGUUGUUGUCUUGGCGUUACGGAUGGGAGUGUGGUUAUAAUUUAGUUAUUUGAUCCUCGAGCAUGUCCUUUAAUUUAGAUUCUGGCUGAAAAAAUGAUUUUUGGUACAAGUUUCGAUCAAGUUGUAAGUUGUCGUUAAUCCCAGUGGGUCUAAAUGUGAUCGUUCAUCGGGUUUAAGUUGUUGUUUGGGUGUGAGUGGUUAAGUAUUAAUUCUGUUAGUCUGUAGAACUAGGUGUACAAUGUGAAUUUUUUAUCAAGCUUACGUUGGUUUUGACUCAGAAAUUGAUUCGUGUAUAAAUGUGUGAUUCUCUUGUUGUUACGUUUAACCUAUUUUGCUUUUGCCGAAAAACACAACUUUUGCAGUCAUAUUAUAUGUAUGUAGGAGUCUGUGUGCAUGCCUCGCUCUUCCCUUUACUCUAUUUCCUUUCAAACUUCAAAUACAUGCUUAAUAUGGUAUCACGAAUGACUUUUAAAUAUAUACCAUGCCUUUGAUUGUGUGAAUUUCCCCUUCCUGCUCUACUUUCUCUUCAUCUCAUUUUUUUAUUUUAUUUUUAUUAUUAUUUUUGAGACAUGUUGUUUUCUGUCUUUAAGUUUUGUUGUUGAUGCCUUCAUCGACCCCGUGAAUAGGAUAAAUCUAACUUCGUGAAAUUGCCUUUGGUUCAAAACCAACUUUUAUGAAUACAUGACCGAUAAAUACGCGAAUGGUUUGGGCUACCUCAGAUUCGGUUCAUAUUAGCACCUAUGUUCGCUCCCUACAAACUAAGUUUAGUAUAGAGCUUUGAAGUUGUCCAGUUGCUUGAUGUGGUUGCUUUAAAUAUUAAUAUUGUUUGUUGCUGCAUUUGGUCCUAUGAGCAAGUAUCCGGGUCUAUCUCAAGAUCACAUUUAUGUAUAUACAAGUUCUUGGGCACGAAAAUACAAGACAUAAUUUGGUUUGAUUUCCGAUUAUGGUAUUGCUGUCCAUUUUUUUGUAAAAUCAGGUCCGACAACAUGAUUUUAUUUUAAGUUACAUGGUUGUCCAUUUUACAUAGAUAUGGUUUGGGUUCGUUUAUUGGGUAUAUAGCAAAGUCCAUUUUGAUUCGUUUGUCGUAAAACAGACAUCUCCUUAUAAUAAAGAUAAGAGGUUGCAAUUUGAAGUCGUUAUCUAAAUUAGACGGUUAAGGCUCGUGUAUAUUUGGCCUAAGCUUUUUAAAACAAUUUGUUACCAUUUUAAUUUUUUUACGCACUGCACUACUUGAAUUAAAGUGAGCAGGGAAUAGUCUCAAUUAAAUUUUGUUUCAUUCCUACACAUGGUUUGAAAACCAAGAUAAUAUAAUUCAUUUUUGUGAAGGUGCUUCACUCUUUUGGUAUAACUUAACACUAUCAUCACAUAAGCACUUUUCAUAUGAUUUCAAUCUGUAAGAACUUUGUUUGGAGCAUGUCCAGUCAAAAAAAGAAGAGAAAGUCGACCUUAGCUUGCAUAUCUCGUCUAUUACUUGUCAUGGGAGUAUGUUGUAACAGGUUGUUUAAAUUCGUUAAUUGUUUCUUGUCCUCUUGAAUCAAACUAGCUUUUACAUAUGGGAAUACAUGUGUGAAACAUUUUUUCACUAGUGUUUAAUACGUGCUUAUAUUGGUAAGUGACUGUGUUCUUUGAAGCCUACUUAGACAAAUUGUAAAAAUGUACAUUUCUUUAGAUAGACCAAGUGAGUGACUUUGUUGCUAGUAUUACUCACGCGUCCAUGAUAUAGGUGAUGUUUUAGUUAGUAAAUGGAGAUCAUUGGCCUCGAUUGACGCCAUUUUACUAUUGUUAUUCACGUAAGUAGUUAUAGAUUUUGGGUACUUUAUUCUUACAAUUGCUUGAAGGGCAUGAGUUGGGUGCCUAUAUAUUUGAGCGUCUCGAUACUGGUUUGUGAUCUAUGUCAUACUAUUGGAGUAUUUACUUGUUAUCCUUAAUCCUUUUUUAUAUAUAUUUAGCUUGUUUCUAAUCUGUUUCCUUAUUCUUUUCUUUUACAUGUACACUUGGGAGCUGGAGUUCCGCAGUGGAACUCAAUUUGACCCGUAGAAUUGGGUUAACGGCUAUAGGAUCACAGAGCUUGGGGUCUAAAUCGCUAGGAGCCGUUUCCUUCUAUGAGAGUUUAUAGUAUCUAGUCCUUUACCUCUCUCAUGACUUUAUUAUUCGUGUUUGUUUCACUAAGUUUGUGUUACUUUGAUUAUGAAUUUUUAUGUGGCCUUGAUUGAAAUUGAUUACCUUAGUUAAUUUAAUUUUGUUUAAACUUUUAAUCAUCUAGAAUUGAUUUUAUUCGGCCAAUUUCAUAUUUAUUUGAUACUCGUAGAUGUAAUAAUGGUAUCUAUGGUUUAACCACUCCUUGUUACCAUUUUAACCUACGAAUCAAACUUUUUAAUAGUAAAUGGUCAACCUUGUCUUUUAAAUGCAAUUUCAAAGGGAAAUAUAUUUUUGUAAUUGAAAUAAAAUGUUUGGUUAUAGUCCUUUUGCAAAAUACUUAAUUAAUGAGUUUUAUCACUUUAAUUAAAAAAUUUCAAAUAAAUAGUUAUAAAUAGGUUUCAACUAGUUAACCCUCUUAUGUUUUCAAGUAGCUCAUCUAUCAAAUUUGAUUCUUCGUUUAACUCAGCAUAAUCUAAACGUUUAUUACUUUACACUUAUUCCUAACGUUAUUUUAAGUUUUCAGAUUUUACAAAUCUCCAAACAGAAGGUAUGCAGACAUUCGUACACUACCAUAUAUAAGGAAUAUUUUUCACUAUUACUAUUCUUAUUCUUACUAUUGUACUAUUAUUACAUAUUAUCAUUUGUGUGUUAUAUCAAUUCUGCUACCACAUUUUGCUUUACUCACUUUCAAUAUAUUGAAAUCUCAUAAAUCAAGUAAAUUUUUGCAUCUUUCAUAUACUCUCACAAAUAUACAUAUUUAUGUUUAUCUUACAAUGAAUGAACUCUCGCAUACUUUAGAGUAUACUUUUCUAUUUUUAUAACAACUUGUUUAUGUAUUUGACUUAAUAUACCUUUAAACAUAUUUUCAUAUAAAAUUAUGACACUUCUAUAUUUUCUACUACAGGUAUAAUAAAGGUACUACUCUUCUCCAUAUUUCUGAAAACAUUCAUAUAUGUAUUUUGCAAUUGUCAUAUUACGUCCUUGUGUAUUAUAGUAUUACAUCUUAUAUAACUUGAAUAUCAUUUUCGAUAAUAAUAAAAGUUUUCUCAUCAUUGUUUUAAGCAAAUAACAAAAUAAAGUUUUUCUAAUAUUUUUCUAAACUAAGCGUAAGGACUAUCUUCGGAUAGACCCAGAGGGGUGCCUAACACCUUCUCCUCGGGUAACCAAAACUCUAACUCCGAAUCUCUAAAUAUUUUUGAAAGAUCAAAACAGAGUUUUCUACAAAAAAAAAUGGUUUUUCCUAAUUUUCCUAAAAAGUUAGGUGGCGACUCUAAAAAAUAAUUUUCAAAUCCCAAGAGUUACUAAACGCUACCAUACGUCGUGUGUUAUUUCGACUGGUUCGAAAUAGGGUGCGACGGAAUGACAACUCUACUGGGGAAUAAUGAACUUAGGUUUUUUAGCUUAACAUGCUUAGUUUAGGAUUUUUAUGUUUUAUUAUGUUAUUUGCUUUACGUAUCUUUAUUAUGUUAUUUGUUAUUUGCUUUACGUAUCUUUAUAUGUUAUUUGUUUUUGUGUGAAAGGACAGUCAAAUCCAAACUUGUGUUCCUUAUUUGUUUGAACAACACUACUUGUUACUGCUUUAUCACUUGCAUUUUCCUAUCGAGUCUUUGGCCGUACACAAUUCACACACUAUGGUUCACGCGGGGGGUGUAUCUAUACUCCCCUAAACCUUCUUUGGAUUCCUUAGUUUCAGAGUUGAUGCAAUUAGAUUAGUGCACCUUCUCGCAGCUAUUCAGUCCUAUUCUCAAAUAUUUAGGAAAAUAUCUUACUUUAGAAAUAGGUCAUGUCACAUAAACCCUAGGCACGACGGUCCAAGGCAAUGUCAUCGCAAUUAGGAAACCACCCUUUUGUCAAAGGUUACAAACCUGUCGACAUAUUUUGUGUGAUGAUUGAUGUUAACGGUCUAAACUAAAAUAGAUAAUGAAUUUGAGAUAAACGACUUAUCAUAUCAUUUACCCUUUCUUUCAGAUGGAUACCAACCAAACCAUACUAAACAUCCAAAUGAUUGCCUUAGUCCCCCAAAACUUACAAACCUGGUAGCAAAAUAUUCAAGCCGUGCAAGGGUCCAAAGUCAGAGAACACUUAGGCUCUUUGGUGUUCCUCAUAGAUAUUCAGGCCAACGAAGCACUCGUAAAACUAUUGGUUGAGCUUUGGGAUCCAUCCACCACAACAUUUCAGUUUACAGACUUCGAAAUCACCCCAACUUUGGAAGACAUCAGUAGCCUCACGGAUUUUCCUCUUGAAGGAAGGUUGAUGUUAGUCCCAUUGGCCAUGGCAAUGGUUUUUUGCAUACUUUGGGUUUAUGAGAAGACCAUGCACCGAGGAGCAUCAGAUACGGUUGGUUUAACUUGGGUUACCUAUUUCAAAUAUUUGGAUAUCAAAUGAGCUAUGACCAUCACGAGAGGACUUCGCUUGUAGCUGAACUAGGUGGGAGAGUGUUCGCACCGUGUCUUUCGCACUUGCCAUACUGGGAAUUCUAGUUUUUCCUCGAAGAAGGGGACAUAUCAACAUCAACUUGAUGCCUUUGGCUCCUCCCAUGUUCAUCGGUUUUAAGAGAUUGAUGUUAGUGCCAAUACUGCUGGCAGGAUUAUUUCGAUCUUUGUCUGCUUGCUCGAGAGGGAAUGAUUUCUUUGGUGGAUGUAACCUGCUACUUUAAGUCUGGGCCGUAGAAUACUUCUAUCAACGAGCGCCAAUCGAAGAUAACUUAUAGGACGACCCCAACAUGAUAUAAAACCAUGAACAAAGGUUGAGAUUUUGGGAGGCACCACUAGGAUCAGAAGAAUGGUGGGCUUAUCUGACGUACCUCACAGGAGAUGCCAUCCAAUGAAAGCUUCCUGGGAUUACAGGGAAAGCACUAUUGAGAAGGUACACUAGUUAUUUUAUUGAGCUAAUUGGAUUGGAAGGAAUCCAACCGUACGCUCCACUUAGAGUUCAACGUCAAUUUGGCAUAAAACAAAAUAUCCCUUUAUGGUCGUCCAUGGAUCCAGCGGAAAUUACUUACGAAAAAUAAGUGCCUUGGGACAGAAUUACGAAGCUACAGGAAAUAUGGAUGAACAUAUCAGCAGAAAUUGGACAAACAACUUGGUACACCUCAGAGUAUUAUGCAUGGAAAGUAGAAGGAGGUCUAAUAACACGACCAAGCUGGGAAAGGAUUCCUGGGUUGGUGGACUACGACAUGGUGUGUCAGGUGGCGAGGGAAAUACUACCUCACAUGUAUCUUACCACCUCCAUGUACCAACAGGUAGUUCCGGGAUAGGUGGAUCACAUGAUUCCUCCAGACGAUAAUGAUGAUGUUAAGGAAGGCACAAACGAGGAAUUAGGCGACCAAUCCAUGAGGAAUGAAGAUAAUUCAGACUACCCAGAGUGGCUAAUAAAUAAUCAAGAUUUCAUGGACUAUUUUCUGUGCCCACGAGAUGACAAUGACAAUGGCCCCACUUGGCCUUAGACUUCCUUUCUUGUUACACUUUCUAUAUUCCCUAAAUAUCCAUAUGGUCAACCCCUUGUAAGCCCUUGCGGCCAUCCUUGUACUUUCUUUCUAAACUAACUUUGAUCUAUUUUAAUGUAACUAUUUGAAGCCUUUGUUUAAUGAAAGUCAUGUUUAUUCUUAAAUCCAAAUGUGUUUAAAUAAACCGUUUAUCAUCAAAUUGAUUGUAACGUAGGCCUACCUCUGGUGAAAAGAGGCUCUAUAUUAGGACGUGUUUGGAUGUUGUCAACUUGGCGUAUAUAUAUGUUACUUACUUGUUACAUUUUCAUUAUUACCCAAACUAACAUAGUUUUCUUUUGCUUUUUCUUUUCUUCCUUUCUUUUGUUUAUUAAUCCCGAUAAAAAAUAAAAAUAAAAAGUUGAUUUGUGUCGACUGAAAAACUGGUGGAAUCCCAAUACGACCUUCGAUCGAAAGACAAAAUGACUAAUAAAGAUAAGGCCGUGAUGAUCCCAGUAGAUGACACCGCGGGGUUCUAAAUGGCCGUCAGAUACUCAGAAUGAUGAUCAAAUGGCCAAUAUGGCACAGGAAAUUGAGGUCCUAAAGAAGAACUCCAUCAAAUACGGGAUCUAAUCAAGCUUACAAUAGCUAGCUUUCCCGCUCAGCCGCAGGCUCCAAGUAUUGAAUUACGUCCAGGCGUUUCCGCUAACCAAGCAAGUAUACCGCAUGCUCAAGACCUACCAGCUUUUCAACCUACUGUCGAAACUAUACCUACUUAUUCAUUUCCUACCCAGAACUUUACUAUUCCAAUCCAUCCAGAAAUACAACAUAUAUCCAAGGCAUAUGUCACUUGUGAGAUACCUGUGCCACUUAUAUAUGCUACCGAAGCUUCUGCUUUCGCAGCAUCUGCGACUCUUAAGGUUCCAUAUGAGGUUGAUGGAUAUGCAAGAUUGAGAAAAGAUGUCCAAUCAAGUGAAGAAGGGUCUAUAUCAUCCCAGCUUGAGAGUCUAAAGCGAGCAUUCAGACAUAUGCAAGUCACCAGGGAAACUGAAAGUUUGGACUACGAUGACUUAUGCAUUCAUCCAGACAUUGACAUGCCAAUGGGAUACAAACCACCAAAGUUCGAUGUGUUUGACGAAAAAGGUGACCCGCAUGCACACCUGAUGGCUUACUGCGACAAGUUGGUCGGGGUAGGAAGGAACGAGAAGUUGAGAAUGAAGUUGUUCAUUCAGAGUUUGUCGGGAGAAGCUUUGACUUGGUACAUCUGACAAGACCCUCGUAAGUGGCGUGACUGGCAGGAAAUGACUAAGGAUUUUAUGAUUCGUUUUAGAUUUAACACUUAGAUUGCUCUAGACAGGUUCUCAUUGGCUAAUAUACAGAAGAAGUCAUUCGAUUAUUUCAAUAAUAUGCAUGGCGAUGGAGGACCAAGGCUGUAAGGAUCCAGCCUCCUUUGGAUGAAAGUGAGCUCUCCAAAUAUUUUAUCCGAGCAUAAGAGAGUGUUUACUUUGACAAAAUAAUGUUGAUGAUGGGCCAAAAGUUUGCAGAAUUGGUCAAAAUGGGAGAUUUCAUAGAAGAAGCCAUCAAGUCGGGGAAGAUCCAAUCUAUGGUUGUACUGCAAGUAAGGCCAUGCAGAUUGCUUCCAUUAAUGGUAAUAAGAAAAAGAGGGAGGACGUCUCAACCGUCACACCAUACUACCGAUCGGGAAAUUCUUCCCACCAUUACCCUAACAACCCCCAAAUUAUUGCAUACGUCCCAGUGUAUAAUACUCAACCGCAUUAUAAUCCUCCUCGAGAUCCAGCAUACCAAAAUCCACCAAGACCAUACGCCCUUGUCCAAGCUCCAGCUCACCCAAAUAGACCAGCCUAUGCGCCCAGACCACGUCCAAAUUUUGAAGCCAGAAAUAUUUGCACUUACACACCAAUUGCAGAACCUUUGGCCCAGUUGUUUGAGAGAUUGAGGGUUUUCGGUUUUUUGCAUCCAAUUGAGGGGAAGGCCCCUGAUUUGACUUCUCAAAACUUUGACGAUAGCAAGCAGUGCGCCUAUUACUCAGGAGUCCAGGGGCACGAAACGGAAGACUGUUACAUCUUGAAGAAUAAAAUUGAGUCUCUGAUAAGAAGGGAUAUCAUCAAAUGCACCGUCGCAGCUCCCAAUGUGAACAAUAACCCUUUGACAAAUCAUGGAAAUCGAGAAGUCAACAUGAUUACUCUAGAGGAGGAGUACGAUUUGGAAGAAACUAUUAUGCCCACAUGAAGCGCAGAGGAGAUCACCACUGCAUCCCCAGCACAUCCAUUUAUCACAGUUCAGUUGAGGGAGCCUAUAACUGUUCUGACAUACCUGUCGAGAGUUGUAGUGAUCACAUCAGCCACUGGUAGGACCGACUAUGACACUAAGGCAGUCCCAUGGGACUAUCAAGCUAAAGCUAAGGGAAAAAUAAUAGACGUUGUUGCGGCUCAAGGGAUGACCAGGUCGGGAAGGUGUUAUGCGCCAGAGGAACCAAAUCGUGGAGUUAUCCAGAAAGAUCAAAACCCGAAGAGAAAUAUCACAGAUGUUGAAGCUGCAGAAUUUUGAAAGAAGAUGCAGCCCAAGGACUAUUCAGUCGAGGAUCAACUCAAGAUCAAGACACCGACCCACAUAUCCGUCAUGUCUUUGCUUAUGAGUUUUGAAGCCCAAAGAAAUACUUUGAUGGAAGUGUUAUCUGGGAUUAGCAUACCAAAAGGAGACAACUAGCGAAACUUUGGCCGCAACAAUCGGGCGAGUGGUAGAGGCAAAUAAGGUCUCUUUCCAUGAUGAUAAGUUACCGUCAGAAGGAGCUGCACACAACAAAGCGCUCUAUAUUACGGUCAGAUAUCAUGACAAGAUUGUGAACAGGGUCUUGAUUGAUAGUGGUUUGGGUUGCAAUAUCUUUCUGUUCUCCACUCUAAGAGAUUUGAGUGUAAAUAUAGAAGAUAUAAGGGAAAGUCAGGUUAAGGUUAGAGCCUUUGAUGGGUCGCAAAGGAGUGUCAUCGAGGAAAUUUACUUAACACUGCAGAUAGGACCAAUAGAAUUUCCUAUCCUAUUUCAGGUCAUGGAUGUGUCAUCUAGCUACAACCUGUUGUUGGGGAGGCUAUGGGUCCACAUGAAAAGAGUCGUUCCUUCCACUCUCCAUCAAUGCAUGAAGUUUGAAUGGGGUCAUACAGAAGUUACUGUCCAUGGAGAACUUAGUCAUCCUAUUUAUUAUGUCAAUUCAGUCCCAGUCACCGAGGAGUUAGAUAGAGCCACUUUUCAUACUCUGGAGAUCAUGAAAGCUACAAGGAUCAAUGAGAAGGCAAUGCCAGCGAAAGCAAAAAUAUCGAAUAGUAAAAAGAUGGUUGCAUCGGAGAUGUUGAAAUAUGGGUAUCAGCCCAAGACAGGACUAGCACCCAGAGUCGAUGGUAUAGUCGAGCCAAUCCAAUUAAAGCAGCAGAAGGGUACUACAGGGCUUAGAUAUGAGCCCAUUUUUGGAGUAGCCUGCAGUAAAGGAUUUGGAAUGACAGUAUUUGUGCCAGCCCGAGUCCCAAUUUCAAAACAAAUAGAAGAUGAAGAUAUCAUAGAAGGAAUAGGAAAUUUGUUUAUGGCCUGAUCGAAGAAGAAUCGGAGAUAGCUUUCAAGAAGCUCACCAUUCGUGAUGCCGAGCCUGGAGAAGCCUUGCAGAAAUGGACCAUCAGCCCAUCCCUGUUUCGCCAGGAGUCUUGGUAGUGUGGGACUGUUGUUGUCUUUUAAAAAAAAAUUAUUUUGUUUGCAUGAUCAAUUGAGGCUUGAAUCAGGCCUAAGCUCUUUUUUCACUUGCCUCUUGUCAAAGCCAGUGCUUUUAUUAAUAAAAGUCCUUAUUUUCAAAACUUAUUUUCCUAUUUUCAAUAUCUAUUUACUUUACUCGCUUUUUAUACUUUUCAGCACAAAUGUUAAUAAAAAUUCUUGUUCCACGAUUAUGACAUGUAACGAAUCUGUUGAGCAAAACACAAGUGAUGAGAAAGAUUACGAGGAGUAGAAUAAAAGCAUGAUGCCUGAAAACCUACCGCAGAAGAUCGAGCAACUUGAGAGUCAGAAGAAGCCUAAUAUCGAUGAAACUGAAGUCAUCAAUUUAGGUAAUAAGGAGACACUGAAGGAAACAUGAGUCAGCAUACACUUGGAAGAUGAAAGGAAACAGGAAUUGAUAAGGCUGCUCAAACAAUACAUCGAUGUGUUUGCUUGGUCUUACGACGACAUGCCUGGUUUGAGCACUGAUAUCGUCUCGCAUCGACUGCCGACCAACCCCUCAGGUUCACCGAUGAAGCAAAAGAUAAGGAAAUUCAAGCCCGAUUUGAGUUUGAGAAUCAAGGAGGAGGUGACCAAGCAGAUAGAAGCCAACGUCGUGAGGGUCAAAACUUAUCCCACCUGUCUAGCCAACAUCGUGCCCGUACCAAGAAGGAUGGAAAGAUAAGAAUAUGUGUAGUCCAAAAGAUGAUUUCUCUCUCCCAAGCAUUCACAUUCUCAUUGAUAAUUGCGUGAAACAUGAGUUGUAGUCGUUUGUUGAUUUUUUUGUGGGAUAUCAUCGAAUUUUGAUGGACAAAAAUGAUGCAGAAAAGAUAGCCUUCAUCACUUCGUGGGAAGUAUACUCUAACAGGGUAAUGCCGUUUGGGCUCAAGAAUGCCAGUGCAACGUACAUGAGGGCCAUGACUACUUUUUUCCAUGAUAUGAUUCUCAAAGAAAUUGAAAUGUACAUGGAUGAUGUCAUCAUCAAAUCUAAAAGGAGUUUAGACCAUUUGGAUGAUUUAUGAAAGUUUUUUGAAAGACUGCGAAGGUACGACCUAAAGUUGAAUCCAACUAAAUACGCAUUUGGAGUUCCCGUGGGAAAGUUAUUGGGAUUCAUUAUUAGUAGGAGAGGUAUAGAGUUAGAUCCAUCCAAGAUAAAAGCAAUCUAAGACUUACCACCUUCUAAGACCAAAAAGGACUUAAUGAGCUUCUUGGGAAGACUUAAUUACAUUAGUCGGUUCAUAGCUCAGUCCACAAUAAUUUGUGAACUAAUAUUUAAGUUGUUGAAAAAAGAUGCCGCCACUGGAUGGACUGAAGAAUGUCAGGAGGCUUUUGAGAAAAUCAAGGAAUAUUUGUCUAACCCACCAGUAUUGGUUCCACCAGAACCAGGAAAGUCGUUGUUGUUAAAUCUAUCCGUUAUGGAUAAUGCCUUUAGAUGUGUGUUAGGGCAGCAUGAUGAUACAGGGAGGAAAGAGCAAGCCAUUUACUACCUGAGUAAGAAGUUCACCCCGUAUGAAGCUAGGUAUACAUUGUUGGAGCGGACCUGUUGCGCAUUGACCUAGGUUGUGCAAAGUUAAUCCACUACCUAUCCGCGUAUACCACGUACUUAAUUUUGAGAAUGGAUCUACUCAAAUACAUCUUUCAGAAACCAAUGCCUACUGGAAAAUUAGCAAAAUGGUAGAUUUUGUUGUGUGAGUUUGACAUUGUGUACGUGACACAAAAAGCCAUCAAAGGACAAGCUUUGGCUGAUAACCUCACAGAAAAUCCAGUGGAUCAACAUUACACGCUGCUCAAUACCUAUUUUUCCUGAUGAAGAGGUGUUUUUGCGGGAGAGAACAUCUCAGAACCAUAUGAUGGAUAGAGGAUGUUCUUCGAUGGAGCAGCGAACUUCAAAGGAGUCAGAAUUAGAGCAGUCCUAGUUUCAGAAACAGGUCAACAUUACCCAAUCUCGGCAAAGAUUAGGUUUCCUUGCACAAAUAACAUGGUAGAAUAUGAGGCUUGCAUUCUCUGGCUUAGGAUGGUAGUAGACAUGGAUAUUAAAGAGCUAUUGGUGAUAGGAGAUUCAGAUUUGUUGAUCCAUCAGGUGCAAGGAGAAUGGACCACCAAGAAUGUCAAAAUCCUUCCUUAUGUGCAAUGUGUUAAGGAAUUAAGCAAAAGGUUUACGAAGAUCGAAUUCAAGCACGUCCCUCAAAUUCAAAAUGAGUUCGUCGAUGCCUUGGAGACACUAUCUUCAAUGAUUCAGCAUCCAGAUAAGAAUUACAUCGAUCCCAUCAAAGUGGAGAUACAAGACCAACAAGCCUACUAUUUCCAUGUAGAUGAAGAGCCAGAUGGAAAGCCGUGGUACUAUGACAUUAAGAGAUUACUUGGAGUAGGAGGAUAUCCAGAAGGCACUAUUGGAAAACAGAAGAGGACUUUAAGAAGGAUGGCCAAUCAAUUCUUUCUCAACUGGGAAAUCCUAUAUAGGAGGACUCCAGACCUAGGAUUACUAUGAUGUGUCGAUGCCACAGAGGCCACAAGAUGUCAGAGGAGAUACAUACAGGAACUUGUGGACCACACAUGAAUGAUAUUAUGCUCGCAAAAAAGAUUUUGAGAGCUGGAUACUUUUAGAUGACCAUGGAGAGGGAUAACAUUCGAUUCGUGCAGAAGUGUCACCAAUGUCAAGUUCAUAGAGACUUUAUACGAGUUUCGUCAAACAAACUCAAUGUGAUAGGUUCUCCUUGGCCGUUUUCUGCUUGGGGCAUGGAUGUUAUUGGGCCCAUAGAGCCUCCUACGUCCAAUGGACAGCGUUUUAUCUUGGUCUCUAUUGAUUACUUCAUAAAGUGGGUUGAAGCCUCGACAUAUAAGGUCGUAACCAAGAAGGUGGUAGCAGAUUUUGUUCGCAAUAACUUAGUCUACCGGUUUGGAAUUCCAUAAUCAAUCAUAAUAGAUAAUGGAGCCAAUCUUAAUAGUGACCUGAUGAGAGAGAUUUAUGAAAGGUUUAAGAUCUCUCAUCGAAAUUCCACGGCAUAUCGACCACAAAAGAAUGGAGCAGUUGAAGCUGCAAACAAGAAUAUCAAGAGGAUUUUGAGGAAGAUAGUGGAUGGUAAUAGAGAAUGGCAUGAGAAGUUGUCAUAUUCUUUACUUGGAUAUCACACCACAAUCAGAACUUCUACUGGGGCAACUCCCUACAUGUUGGUUUAUGGGUCAGAAGCAGUAAUACCUGCAGAAGUGGAGAUACCUUCAUUAAGAAUUAUCCAGGAGGUUGGUCUAGAUGACGCCGAAUAGAUUCAUAGUAGGAUCAAGCAGUUGAUGUUUAUUGAUAAAAAGAUAUUAGACGCAGUCUGUCAUGGUCAACUCUAUCAAAAUAGAAUGAUUAAGGAAUUCAACAAGAAGGUCAAGCCUCGACGAUUCACACCAAAACAGUUGGUAUUGAAUAAGAUAUUCCCUCACUAAGAUAAAGCCAAAAGAAAAUUUGCACCAAACCGGUAAGGUCCUUACAUAGUUCACCGAGUACUCUCAAGAGGAGCAGUGAUAUUUGCAGAACUGGAUGGCACAGUAAGCACGAAGACGAUCAAUUGAGAUGCCAUCAAGAAGUACUACAUUUGAAGACAUUAGGAAUAGUAGUUAUUUCUUUCUUUGUACUUUUUCAUUUUUCUCCAAUGUAACAGAACUACGUAUUAGCCUGACUUCCCACGAUGGGAUACGUAGGCAGCCCACAUCGAAUUCGGUCCCUUCAUAUUUUUACCUUUCCAUUGUACUGAACUACGGCCUGACCUGAUUCUACUUGGAUAUGUAGGCAGCUUGAGUCAGGACCGGUCAUAUCGAACUACGUUAUGACCUGAUUCCUAUUUUAAGGAUACGUAGGCUGCCUAAGUCAGGCUCGUUCAUUGCACUGCAUAUUUUACUUUUCUCGUUGUAUUGAACUACGCCAUGACCUGAUUCCACUUGGAUACGUAGGCAGUUUGAGUUAGACUCGGUCAUUGCAUUUUAUUUUUCCACCCUCGAACUACAUAAAGAACUGAUUCCACUUGGAUACUUAGGCAACCUGAAAGGUUCGGUCUUACCUCUAGGAAAAUCUCCUUUGCUCAUAGUAUAGCCUCAGAAUAUAAGAGAUCUCGCCGCCAUAAUUAUCGUAGCAUCGACAGUCAGCUCCACUAGAAAGAUAAAGCUACAUGGGUCACGAUCGACAAAUGGAGGCUUAACGGAUUUUUGAACGUGUCAUAAUCUAAAAGUGAUAAAGGAUUACUAUAUAUGCUUAAUAUAUACGUAAUAUUUACGAAAACAUAUAUACAUAUAUGUAUUUUUCACCAUAAUUUCAACUUUUUCACUUACUGAGACUCCAGAUUCGGGAGUGAUUGAGCAACCGAGGGAGUGUUGGAGAAUUCCGUAAACAAAGCCAGGAUUCCCAAGUCGACACAAAUCAACACCCCCUCCCAACUAAGAAUGUUUCUUUGAGCGCAGGAAAAUAGGAAUUGAAAGACUACAUUAAGUCAAGAUUUGGGAUAGGAUCAGGGGCAUCAUGCAGCUUACCACUAUGACAUGAGCCAAAUAUUCUUCCUUUACUUUAUUCUUUUUACAUACAUUUAUACUAAUCCUCACAAACUCUAAGAGUUUUAUCCGAAUUCUUUUGCAGGUACAUUUUGAAGACCCGGGUCAGAAACUAAGAAAAGAGGAUCUUCAUAGAAAGAUUAGGCUAUUUACUACUCCCAACAAACUCCGCAAAUCGAAGAGUGUCGUCUGACCUCAAUAAAGUCUAGAUAUAAGCAAACAAAGUCAAGCUUCCGUAUUCCAAAGGACUGUAUAUAAGAAAACAAAGUCGAGCUUUCGCAUUUUGAGGACUGUAUUAAGGAAACAAAGUCGAGUUCCACAUUUUGAAGACUUUACAUAAGCAAGCAAGGCGAUCCUCUGCCAUAUCGGAGGAUACGAAUAAGCAAUACGACACUCUGCCAUAUCGGGAGUUGUGCACCAGCGAUGGGGACGCCCUACCAUAAAUCAAAAAAUGUACAUAAGCAAAGCAACACUCCUCCAUAUCGGAGAAUCGCAUUUCAAACAAACAAAGCACAGCCUGCCAAUCAAAGGCCCACACCAUAGCAAGCACGCAAGAAAGCAACUAUCACAACAACAUCAAGUUCCAAUAGCAAUAACAUCAUUUAGUUCAGACUGAAGGUCGCCUUGCCAAUAAAAGGCAAUUUACCAUUGGGCAAAUGUCCCGCCAUCGGAGGCUUUACUUUUCAAACACUGCUCGCCAUUCAGAUGGUACUUACUUCUCAAUUACUCAGCCGACGGAGGCUAUUUACACUUCAGCCGACGAAGGCUAUUUACAUUUCAGUCAACAGAGGCUAUUUACAUUUUGGACGAUGGAGGCUAUUUAUAUUUCAGCCGUCAGAGGCUAUUUACAUUCAAGAAGAUGCUCAGCCGAUAGAGUCUAUUUACAGUUUAGCCGGCAGAGGCUAUUUACAUUCCAUCCGACGGAGGCUAUUUACAUUUCAGCCAACGGAGGCUAUCUACAUUUCAGUUAUUGCCCCGCCAGUCGGAGUCCUUCAAAAAUGGAGACAAUAUUAGUUUGAAUAUCUAAACUCUACUCUUUAUAUAACGAUUUCAAUUUAUAAUUUUUCGAACGACAGGUAAUUUUUAUCCUGUUACCUGUUUUGUAGGACCAUGCAGUACAAUGUAGAACUACCCUCUUAGCAGCAAACUGGGGCAAGCUAGCGGAAUGUCAAACAUCCCUGGCUACGUCAAGGAUUCCGGCAAAGAAACUCAACUCAACUCAAUUCAAGUUUUCAUUUUCAUAACUUUUAAGUGUCAUUACCCAGUGUCAUCUUAAUCAAGCACUGGGACAAUCUUUGAAGAUCUUUAAUUUCCUUUUUCUCCCAAAAUCCUCAGCAGAUAUUCCUAUCCAACGUCUCCUCAUCCUCAGCUAUUCUGAACAACCAAUUUCGGUACUUGCACCUCUAUCCUUUUCCAUUCGUGCUAAAAUCUUUAUUAUCCUUCUAGAAGGAACCCAAUGUCACCAUAAUUCUAUAUUGGGCAAAUUUUGAGGUUCAUCAAACUUUACUACAACUCGAAAUAUAAAUGGCCUGAUUUCUUGUGGAGCCCGAGAUAUGUAGGCAGCUAGAAAAUCGAAGCCCGGCCAUAAUCUUCCAAACAUUUUAUUUUGCCUGAGACAAAAUUGGUUACGUCAACAUGAGUGCCCAAAGAUUUUCAAUCUUCGGUCCCUCAGUAGCAACUGUUGACACUCAAUUUUGACUCGUCAUUUUUCCUUUAAUUACUUUUCUGAUGCUUCUUGGUCCUAAAUAAUUUUCAAAAAUUAAAUAAAAAUAAGAUUCGUAUUUUUUUUGAUAUUUCUACAAGUUUUAAUAAAAAGGGAAUUUAUUUUUAUUUAUAAAAUUACUUUAAUUAAAUAUAAUUAAAUAUUUUGACAUUAAAAUCACAAAAUAUAUAUAUCUUUUGGUGGUCACAUUCGCAUUCUUUCUAACUUUAUUUUUGGGCAGUAUUGUGACCUUAUAUGUAUAUUUUUAUCAUACAAAAUAUAUUUUUAUAAGAUGUACAUAUAUUAUUAUUAUAUUCUUAUUUUAAUGUAUUUUAUUAUAUUCUUAUAUUUAUAUAUGUAUAUAUAUACAUAUUUUGUUAAUAGGAAAGUCGCAAAAUAUUAAGUUAGACUUCUGUACAAAUUAUGUCUGUAAACUAAAAAAAUAAUUUUUAGAAUAUCAGAAAGCAUCGAUAAAUUUAAUUUCAAUAGAAAAAGAGUAUUCGGGCUAACAAUAGUUCAACUUCUUUUUUAUUUUAUUUUACUUUUCAUCCGAACCCAACUCUUAUUUUAUGAAUUUCAGCCAAGAGCUCGAAUAUCAGUCCAAAUCAGUAUAAUUUCUAUGCCCGCUUCGUCAUUCUACCUUAACGAAUAUUAUUUGACCCAAUCUGUCGAUUUAUUUUGAAUCCGAUGGAUCUCGAAUUUUCAAAUAUAUAUAUAUAUUAUAAUUUACCUUUUUAUAUAUUUUUAAAAAUUUGAACUAUUCCGAUCAAAUACCAAACGGAUAAAACAAUAAUCAAUUCUUAAUUAGCUUUUUGUGUAUUUAUUUAUAUAUAAUUUAUAUUAUUAUUUUUAAGAUUGCUAUUUUUAAGACCGUCUGAUCUUUGAUCAAACGGAUCAAAAUGGAUCAAUAUAUGCAAGGUCAGUGCAUUCAAUAAAAGAGUUCACGCCUUUGCUUUGGCAGAAAUACGCGUACUCUCUUCCUAAGAAAAUAUUGAUAGGUCUCCGUCAUCUCUUUCCCAAAACAACAACAACAAUGGCCUCCUUCCCCUCUUCUCCUCUUUUCCUUCUCCUCUCACCCCAAACGAGAAACCUUAAGAUCUCCGUAGCUAGCCAUCGUCUGCCACCUACCUACACGAAUCUUCCAUUUCUAUCACCCUAAGCCAACAAAUCAUCAAAAAUCAGUCCCUAAUUUAUGCAAAAAUGAAACUUUCUGAGGAUUUGCAGCUAAAGCUUGAUAAAAACUGAAAUUUUUGUAGAUGGAUGUCAUAAUUUUGAAUUCAAAUCUCAUCUCCAUAAAAAUGUGCUUCAAAUUCGGACUUUGGAUUCCGGAUUUUGGCUAUAAAUAGCCCCACAAUCGCCAUCAUCAGGAUCAAGUUGGAUAUUAAAGGAAAAUCAGACUACAUUCACAAAAGUUUCACUAGAAAAGUCACAAAAAAGUUAUUAAUUUCUUCGCUUAAUUUCGGUGUUUGAUCGAGUCCUGAAAUUCGAGUUUUGGCGGCCGGAAUACUCGACAAGAAGCCCGAGUUUGCUGCACAAUACAAGGUACGAAUCCGAUUCUUUUGAAUUCAUUUUCUUUUUCCUCCCUUUGUGCAUGUCGAUUCUGUGAAUACGAAAUUCAUUAUGAUUGCUAAUUGGUGUUGUGUUGCUGUCUUGGCGUUACGGAUGGGAGUGUGGUUAUAAUUUUAGUUAUUUGCUCCGUGAGCAUGUCAUUUAGUUUAGAUUUUGGCUGAAAAAAUGAUUUCUGGUACAAGUUUUAAGUUGUCGUUAAUCCUAGUGGGUCUAAAUGUGAUCGUUCAUCGGGUUUAAGUUGUUGUUUGGGCGUGGGUGGAUAAGUAUUAAUUCUGGUAGUCAGUAGAAUUAGGUGUACAAUGCGAAUUUUUUAUCAAGCUUAUAUUGGUUUUGACUCAAAAAUUGAUUCGUGUAUAAAUGUGUGAUUCUCUUGUUGUUCCGUUUAACCUAUUUUGCUUUUGCCGAAAAACACAACUUUUGCAGUCAUAUUAUGUGUAUGUAGGAGUCUGUGAGCGCGCCUCGCUCUUCCCUUUACUCUCUUUCCUUUUAAAUUUCAAAUACAUGCUUAAUAUGGUAUCACGAAUGACUUUUAAAUAUAUACCAUUCCUUUGAUUGUGUGAAUUUCCCCUUCCUGCUUUACUUUCUCUUCAUCUCAUUUUUUUAUUUUAUUUUUAUUAUUAUUUUUACGACAUGUUGUUUUCUGUCGUUAAGUUUUGUUGUUGAUGCCUUCAUCGACCUCGGGAAUAGGAUAAGUCUAACUUCGUGAAAUCGCCUUUGGUUCAAAACCAACUUUUAUGAAUACAUGACCGAUAAAUACGCUAAUGGUUUGGGCUGCCUCAGAUUAAGUUCAUAUUAGCACCUUUGUUCGUUCCCUGCAAACUAAGUUUAGCAUAGAGCUUUGAAGUUGUCCAGUUGCUUGAUGUGGUUGCUUUAAACAUUAAUAUUGUUUGUUGCUGCAUUUGGUCCUAUGAGCAAGUAUUCGGGUCUUUCAAGAUCACAUUUAUGUAUAUACAAGUUCUUGGGCACGAAAAUACAAGACAUAAUUUGGUUUGAUUUUCAGUUAUGGUACUGCUGUCCGUUUUUCUGUAAAAUCAGGUCCGACAACAAGAUUUUAUUUUAAGUUACAUGGUUGUCCAUUUUACGUAGAUAUGGUUUGGGGUCGUUUAUUGGGUAUUAUAUCAAAGUCUAUUUCGAUUCGUUUGUCGUAAAAUAGACAUCUCCUUAUAAUAAAGAUAGGAGUAUAAAUGCAAUUUCAAAGGGAAAUAUAUUUUUGUAAUUGAAAUAAAAUGUUUGGUUAUAGUCCUUUUGCAAAAUACUUAAUUAAUGAGUUUUAUCACUUUAAUUAAAAAAUUUCAAAUAAAUAGUUAUAAAUAGGUUUCAACUAGUCAACCCUCUUAUGUUUUCAAGUAGCUCAUCAAUCAAAUUUGUUUUUUCGUUUAACUCAACAUAAUCUAAACGUUUAUUACACUACACUUAUUUCUAACGUUAUUUAAAGUUUUCUGAUUUUACAAAUCUCCAUACAGAAGGUAUGUAGGCAUUCGUACACUACCAUAAGGAAUAUUUUUCACUAUUACUAUUCUUAUUCUUACUAUUGUACUAUUAUUAUAUAUUAUCAUUUGUGUGUUAUAUCAAUUCUACUACCACAUUUUACUUUACUCGCUUUCAAUAUAUUGAAAUCUCAUAAAUCAAGUAAAUUUUUGCAUCUUUCAUGUACUCUCACAUAUAUACAUAUUAAAGUUUAUCUUACAAUGAAUGAACUCUCGCAUACUUUAGAGUAUACUUUUCUAUUUUUAUAACGACUUGUUUAUGUAUUUGACUUAAUAUACCUUUAAACAUAUUUUCAUAUAAAAUUAUGACGCUUCUAUAUUUUCUACUACAGGUAUAA